CCCUGCCAUUUGUACACACCGCCCGUCGCACCUACCGAUUGAAUGGUCCGGUGAAAUCUUCGGACUCUGUGUUUAUUGAUUAGUUUCAAUUUACUACUGGAGAAAGUUGAGUAAACCUUACCAUUUAG
RNAcentral lists this ribosomal RNA (128 nucleotides) under uncultured eukaryote. RNAcentral describes it as "partial small subunit ribosomal RNA". It matches the Rfam family "Eukaryotic small subunit ribosomal RNA", at positions 1651 to 1776 of the family's 1831-position model. The record is from RNAcentral.